This is a long non-coding RNA of Ipomoea nil (Japanese morning glory), 687 nucleotides long. RefSeq lists it as uncharacterized. The transcript has 3 exons. Lineage: Eukaryota; Viridiplantae; Streptophyta; Magnoliopsida; Solanales; Convolvulaceae. The record is from RefSeq and is a predicted model, not a curated record.
UCUUCUCUCCCCUCUUCGCCGUUCUCUCUAUCGCAGUCAGAACCUCUACAUUCAACCCUAUACUCUAACAUAAGAGUUCAUGUUUUGUCGGUAGAAUACUCCAAAUCUAGUGUUUGAUACCAGUUAAUAUUCAUUCCCUGAAAAUCAAACCUAGUUCGUCGCGGUUUUAUUCUUUGGUCGGUGAUAUUCGAGCUCGCAAUGUAGAAAUAAAUUGCAGGUGGACUUACUAAAACAUGGCAUACCUGACUCAUCAUCUCUAUUGCUCUCUUCAAUUUUUUAAGAGAAAGUGAAAGGGUGGCAGGGUGCAAAGAUUUACCAAAUUUGCAGAAGAGGCCAAUGUCACAUAUUCAACAGGUCCGUGUAAAAUUGCAAAGCCUCUUCCAAAUCUAAUUUUCAACUCCAGACAGGGACUCUAUUCUUAUAUGUGGACCUCAAGGGACUCUUUGCAGGUGGUUCGAAGUGGAUAGAUGGUGAAUUUGGGAGUGCAAGUUUCUAUCAAGGUAGGUUUAUAUAGAUGUUGAAUAUUGUCUUUCGAAGUUGAAGACUUUCUUGGAAUUAUGAAGGCUGCACAAAACGGUUCAAUAUCCAAGAUUAAUUUAAUUAGAUAUCUGUUCAAAUACAUUGUAAUUGUAUUAGAUGGAUAUGUAUAGUUAGUUAUAUGUAUAAUUGGUUGCCUUCUCGAUGUAA